Molecule: ribosomal RNA, 492 nt
Filed under: uncultured bacterium
Lineage: Bacteria
Description: partial 16S ribosomal RNA
Rfam family: Bacterial small subunit ribosomal RNA
Source: RNAcentral
AGUGAACGCUGGCGGUAGGCCUAACACAUGCAAGUCGAACGGCAGCACAGUAAGAGCUUGCUCUUACGGGUGGCGAGUGGCGGACGGGUGAGGAAUACAUCGGAAUCUACUUUUUCGUGGGGGAUAACGUAGGGAAACUUACGCUAAUACCGCAUACGACCUACGGGUGAAAGCAGGGGAUCUUCGGACCUUGCGCGAUUGAAUGAGCCGAUGUCGGAUUAGCUAGUUGGCGGGGUAAAGGCCCACCAAGGCGACGAUCCGUAGCUGGUCUGAGAGGAUGAUCAGCCACACUGGAACUGAGACACGGUCAAGACUCCUACGGGAGGCAGAAGUGGGGAAUAUUGGACAAUGGGCGAAAGCCUGAUCCAGCAAUACCGCGUGGGUGAAGAAGGCCUUCGGGUUGUAAAGCCCUUUUGUUGGGAAAGAAAAGCAGCAGGUUAAUACCCCGCUGUUCUGACGGUACCCAAAGAAUAAGCACCGGCUAACUUCGUG